This 76-nucleotide transfer RNA is filed under the name Leptolinea tardivitalis. RNAcentral describes it as "tRNA-Thr". It matches the Rfam family "tRNA". From Rfam's summary of the family: Transfer RNA (tRNA) molecules are approximately 80 nucleotides in length. Their secondary structure includes four short double-helical elements and three loops (D, anti-codon, and T loops). Lineage: Bacteria; Bacillati; Chloroflexota; Anaerolineae; Anaerolineales; Anaerolineaceae. The record is from RNAcentral.
GCCCUCAUAGCUCAGUUGGUAGAGCACGUUCUUGGUAAGAACGGGGUCAUGGGUUCAAAUCCCAUUGAGGGCUCUA